GACGACGCUGGCGGCGUGCUUAACACAUGCAAGUCGAACGGAAAGGCCCUGCUUUUGUGGGGUGCUCGAGUGGCGAACGGGUGAGUAACACGUGAGUAACCUGCCCUUGACUUUGGGAUAACUUCAGGAAACUGGGGCUAAUACCGGAUAGGAGCUCCUGCUGCAUGGUGGGGGUUGGAAAGUUUCGGCGGUUGGGGAUGGACUCGCGGCUUAUCAGCUUGUUGGUGGGGUAGUGGCUUACCAAGGCUUUGACGGGUAGCCGGCCUGAGAGGGUGACCGGCCACAUUGGGACUGAGAUACGGCCCAGACUCCUACGGGAGGCAGCAGUGGGGAAUAUUGCACAAUGGGCGGAAGCCUGAUGCAGCAACGCCGCGUGCGGGAUGACGGCCUUCGGGUUGUAAACCGCUUUCGCCUGUGACGAAGCGUGAGUGACGGUAAUGGGUAAAGAAGCACCGGCUAACUACGUG
RNAcentral lists this ribosomal RNA (467 nucleotides) under uncultured bacterium. RNAcentral's name for it is "partial 16S ribosomal RNA". It matches the Rfam family "Bacterial small subunit ribosomal RNA", at positions 33 to 507 of the family's 1533-position model. The record is from RNAcentral.